GGGAAAGUAAGGAAUAAGGAGCAAAAACUUAAAAAAAAAAAAGUAAACAAGGUGUAAAGGGAUCUAGGGAACUAUAAAGGUUGUAGUUCAGUAUCAACAAUGAUAACUCAAGGUAUAGUGGAAAUAAAAGUGAGGGGAUAUUAGAUGACAAUUAAUCAAUGUUGGAACACAUUAUAUCCUGAAAUGUUAGAAAAAUAAAUGAUCACAGAAAAAAAUAAGUAAUUAGAGGAUGUCUGAGCAGAUUGAAAGCAGACAUCAUCAUCUAUUUGCAGGAUACUAAAAUGGAGGGAUAAGAGGUUUUAGAAGAUAAGAAAAUAGAGUUGUUUAAAGAACAGAAGGAGAGAAAAGGUAAGGAAUGUGGAGCAAAAAACAAAAAACAAAAAGCAAACAACGUGUAAAGGGAUCUAGGAAACUGUAAAGGCUGUAGUUUAGCAUUAACAAUGGUAACCCGAGGCAUGGUGGAAAGAAAAGAGAUGGGAUAUUGGACAACAAUUAAUCAAUGUUUGAGGCAUAUCAUAUCCUGAAAUAUUAGGAGAAUAAAUGAUCAUAGAAAAAGACAGGUAAUUAGACGAUGUAUGACCAAAAUAAAACCAGAGAUCAUUUGUUUGCAGUAGACUAAAAUAGAGAGCUUAGGCUAUUUAGAGAAUAAAUGAUCAUAGAAAAAAACGUUUAAUUAGAGGAUGUAUGAGCAGAUUAAAACAAGAGAUCAUCAAUUUGUAGGAGACUAAAAUAGGGGCAUAUCGUAUCUUGAAAUGUUAGGAGAAUAAAUAAUCAUAAAAGAAGACAAGUAAUUAGAACAGAUUAAAACCAGAUAAUAGAGUUGUUUAAAGAAAUUUAGAAUAGAAAGAGAUAAAAAGUAAGGAAUGAAGAGCAAAAAACAAAAAAGAGAUUAAAAAGUUUAGAAGAUAAGAUAAGUCAAUGGAGUAGUUUAAAGAGAUUUAAAGUAGGAGAGAAAGGGUAAGGAAUGAGGAGAAAAAAACAAAAAAGAGAUGAAAGAGUUUAGAGGAUAAGGCAAUGGAGUUGUUUAAAGAGAUUUAGAGUAGGAAGAGAGAAAAGGUAAGGAAUGAGGAGCAAAAAGUAAAAAAGAGAUAAAGGAAUAAGAGGAUAAGACAAUGGAGUUGUUUAAAGAGAUUUAGAGAAGAAUGAGAGAAAAUGUAAGGAAUUAGGAGAAAAAACAUAAAAGAGAUUAAAAGGUAAGGAAUGAGGAGAAAAAAACAAAAAAGAGAUGAAAGAGUUUAGAAGAUAAGGCGAUGGAGUUGUUUAAAGAGAUUUAGAGUAGGAGGAGAGAAAAGGUAAGAAAUGAGGAGUAAAAAAUAAAAAAGAUAUAAAGGAAUAAGAUGAUAAGGCAAUGAAGUUGUUUAAAGAGAUUUAGAGAAUGAGAGAAAAGGUAAGAAAUGAGGAGAAAAAACAAGAUUAAAGAAUCUAGAGGAUAAGGCAAUGGAGAGAAAAGGUAAGGAAUUAAAAGCAAAAAACAAAAAAGAAAAGCAAACAAGGUAUAAAAGGAUCAAGGGAACUACAAAGGCCGUAGUUCAGUAUCAACUAUGGUAACCCGAGGCAUGGUGGAAAGAAAAGAGUGGGGAUAUUGGAAGACAAAUUAAUCAACGUUGAGGCACAUGAUAUCCUGAAAAAAUAGGAGAAUAAAUGAUCAUAGAAAAAGAUAUUUAAUUAGAGGAUGUAUGAGCAUAUUAAAACAAGAAAUCAUCUGUUUGCAAAAUACUAAAAUAGGGAUACAUCGUAUCCUGAAAUAUUAAGAGAUAAAUGAUCAUAGAAAAAGACAAGUAAUUAGGACAUAUUAAAACUAAAGAUCAUAUGUUUGCGUUGGACUAAAAUAGGGAUACAUCGUAUCUUGAAAUAUUAGGAG
RNAcentral lists this long non-coding RNA (1861 nucleotides) under Carica papaya (papaya). Its description in RNAcentral is "long non-coding RNA (CPAP_LNC014460)". The record is from RNAcentral. Lineage: Eukaryota; Viridiplantae; Streptophyta; Magnoliopsida; Brassicales; Caricaceae.